GUGUUACCAAAUUGUUGGAUGAGAAUAAUUUUAACUAAAAGAGUUAUGCUUUUAAGACAUAUUAGUGAAAACAAAAAAAAAAACGUACCAAGUUACAUACCUCAAUUUGGUCACCAAGGUUAACAACAAUGGAAUGGCGCAUAGGAGGCACAUCCACCCAUUGGCCAUCUUUGAGAAGCUGAAGGCCACUGACCUUGUCAUCUUGCAAGAGAAGGAUAAUCCCACCCGCAUCCGUAUGUGCACGAAGACCCUUCACCAACUCUGGCUUUGGGCAUGCAGGGUAGUUUGCUACCUUUGUCCCAAAAUUUGGACCCUUUGAUCCAUAAAAUGCAUUCUUCAGGUACCCUUUCUCUAAUCCAAGAUUUUCACAUAACAGGUCUAGCAACUCCUCUGCAAGCUCCUCCAAUUUCUUUGCAAAUUCCUUCAUUGCAUCCCUGAAUCAUUAACUCAUCCAGUUCAGACCAUGUCAUGUGUAGAUAUGCAUCAUAUCAUCAAAUUUGUCACCCAAAUCACAGUUAAAUGCAUCAUUGGUUUGUUAUUAUUGGUGAUGAAAACAUUAUUAUAUAAUGCCAUCAACAAUAUAUUUCAUGAUUCAUGUAUAUGCAUUUCUUAGUUUCACUUUGUCAUACCUAUACUCUUGGCAGAGAUCAGGGAUUUCAGAGAUGUUGGAGGUUGGAAGAUGGCGCAAGAAGAAGGUACUCUCCCAAUCCAUGUCCUUCACUUCAACUUCUAAGGCCUUGCUUGCGACUGCCUCCUUGAACCUGUUCUCCAUGCAUUUCCUAUAAUGCUCUUUUGUCAACCUUUCCACAGUAUCCAAAAGCUCAAGGGGUAUUCCAUGAUUCACCAACUACAAUUCGGAUAUAUAGCAGCAUAAUUAAUAUAGUUCAAAUGAAUAACAUGAAGAAAAUUUUGGGAUGUACACUUGCAAAUGAACAGAUAUAUAUAACAAAGCUUUUUGUGAUUUGGUUUGUGCGAUACCUCAAAAAAUCCCCAGUUCUGGCAAGCGUCUUCAAUCUGGUCUAGUGUAGCUUUCCUCUCCUCACCGUUGAGAUUGUCUAAGUUGAUCACGGGGAAGUUCUCCAUCUCUCGCACUUCUUUUCUUUCUUUUUUUCUUAUGACAAAUCUUGAUGUGUUUGUUGAUGCAUAUUGUGUGCCAUUUAUAGGAAUGCAAAGAGUUAAGUGAAGACAACAUGACAAAUUAAAAAUUCUCCUGUGUUCCUUACGAAUCAUUUUGCGUCGUUGAAUUGUCUACUUUGGGCAUCGUUGGACUCAUCUGGAGGCGAAACCAAACUUCCUUGCAUUUUCCCUUAAAUUGUAGUACUAAGCACGUGGUUUCUUCAGUAGGUGGCACUUGCAAAUGAAGUUCUAAAAUUUAUUAUUGUAUUUAUUAUGCAAGCUUGUGAACGACUUAUUCAGACGUCUAACAACCAUAGAUCUGCCAUGGUAUUAUUAUGUAUUUGAUACCCUCAAAAUUUGGGCGAGCCCUGGUGCAGCGGUAAAGUUGUGCCUGUUGGUCAUGGGUUCGAAUCCGGAAACAGCCUUUUUGCAUAUGCGAUGGGGUACGAAGUUUUUAUACCCUCAAAAUUUACCUCCAUCUAAUUACUAUAACCUACAACUUACAAGCACGAGAACAAAUUCAUAUUGUUUGGGGCUGAGGUUCUACCAUUUAAUUGUCUUUCAACAAUUUUGCAUAUAUAGCGUAUUCGGUUUUAUAUUUCAAUGUGAUUUUUUCACAUUUAUACUAAGACGUUUAUCGUUAUAGUUUUUAAAACGAUUUCUUAAUUUCUAAGGUGUUUCCCAACUCACAUUUAAUAAUUGGAUGCCAUUAAUUGAAUAAGUAAGACAAUCCUGGAAUUUAUUAGAACCAAUAGCUUACAAGUCAAAAGCACGAAGAAAUAAUUCAUAUUAUUGGAGUCUCAGGUUCUAAGCUGCGUUUCAACAAUUUUAUUAGCUUAUUUGAUUUUAUAUUUCAGAUUUGAUUAAUUUUUCAUAUUUAAGAAGGUUAUAAUUAACUUUCUGCAUUUUAAUGUAAAUUUUUUUUUAUAUGAUUUCUUAGUUUUCAAACACACAUUUAGUAAUUGGACGCCAUUAAUUGAAAAUUAUAUCUGGACAAAUUCUUUUUCAUCCAAUUAGUUGUCUUUUUUCUUUUCCAUUAAUUUGACCACUUGAGCAAUAGGAGGCAAAAAAAAAUUGUGGCGUCUAACUGAUAGCUAGGACAUUUCUGUUCUACAUUUCCAAGUUUUAAUAAUUGCAUAUUUAAUAAAACACAAACGUUGGUUUUGGUCAGAAUAUAUCUUGGCCAUCGCGGUCACUUGAGUCCUCCUCAUCUUUAUCAUGUUUUUUUGUUCUUAGCACAAAAAAAUUAUUAAGUGUGUUAAGUCCAACAUGUAAAUUGAAUAUUGUAAAAAAAAAAACUGGAUAAUGGGAGGCUGCAUGCCACGGGUUUGCGUACCUUGUACGUUAUUAAUUGUUGUGACCGUGGAAAUCAUAAUUUUUAAAAUUGAAUUUGAUAAAAAAAAAUGGGAAAGAUUUCAAAACUGGUGAGAAUCUGUCAAAAAUUGAUUAAACUGGUCUCUUGGUGGGGAAAAAAGGUCAAGAAUCGAUACAGAUGCAUUUUCAAUUUUUAUUAUUUUUAAAAAUUAAAAAUUAAUUAAAGACAAACAAAAUUACAUAUUUGAUAAAAAUACAAAUAGAUAUAAAUUAUUUUUAAAAUAUUUAUUUGUUUCUUUUUAUAAAACAUAUAAUUUACUUAUUUAUAUGAAUUUAUAAUUUUUAUAUCUUAAUUUCCUAAGAUUUUAUAUUGUUUUAAUUUGUCAUUAUAUUAUUUAUUUUAGAUGUAAAUUUUUUAUUAUUAAUGGAAAUUAUUUCAUUUUAUUAAAAUUUAAACUUAAGAAAUAUGAUUUGUUUGUUUUAUUUAUACUUUGAACGUUAAAAAUUAAACCUGUAAAAUGACAUUUUAAUUAUUGUAAUUUUUAUCGUUAAAAAAUAUUAUAUUAUUUUAUUUAGGCUAAUUUUUUUAGUCUAUGUAAUUUGGUCAUUUUGCUUUUCUAGUGCCAAAAAACUACAUGGCAAUUAGAAUGUCAAGUUAUCAUAUUAUGUGUUAUUGAAGGUCUAUUUAUCAUCUUAAUUAGAGUGAUCUCUUAUCUUAAUGACAUUUUCUCCAUCACAAAUUUCAAACCAACAAAGCAGUUUUUCUAUUUGGUCAUUAACGUUAAUUGAGCCCUAAAUCUGUUCGUAUUAUGGUAGCUUUUGCUCAAAGUUUAAUUUUGAAAUUCCUAAUAACAAAAACUGCAACUCUAAGCACAUAAUUGAUGAGCCUAAUCUAACUCAAUCUAACAAAACAUACUCUGCAGCGGUUUAACCCCAGAUUGAGAAUCACCAAGGAGUAGGGAAACCUGAAAUAACAUGUCUGCAUGGUCUUUUUCUGCAACUGCAACGCAUGAAGUAUGGAACAAAAACUUUAGCUCUUUUUCUGCUUUAUCUUUUUCCCCCCGCUUUAGUUCAGUUACAGAGAGUGACAAGGCGCAAAAAAGAGAAAGGAAAUGCCACAGCUACGAAUGCAACAUUUCAAAAAAGGAAAAAAAAAAAAAAAAGAUAACUGAAGGUGUGUUGCACGACAUGAUAUAUAGCUAGCUACCGAAUUGAAUGAAAAACAAGCAAAGUAAUUAUGCUUUUUAUUUUUCUUUGCUGGUUAUUAGCUACAGUUUCAUUGGUGUCAUAAUUCAUAGCAGUCUCGAACGAAGAUGACUACUAACUAACAUUAUUCUUCCCGUGUGACCUAGAAAAAGUGACGAUAGCGUAACAUGUGAAGUUGAAGUUUCAAAUCAAUUCCCUUUUUGGUAUUAAUAUAAGAUAGAUGCAUGCAACUAAUUAAUAGUAUACAAUAACGCAUGCAUUGCAUUGUGAGUACUUUAUAUCCUCAUUAUUUGAAGUUAGCUCUAGUAAUUUGAUCGAGUACUAUGAAUCCUAGAGGUUUGGAGGGAGCAGGAAGAGGAAGAGGAAGAGGAAGAGUCACAACCCUUCUGAUUAAGUGCACGUUGGCAGGUAAAUGGGAAGGGGUUAUCGACAUGUACCGUAAUUUCCCAACGUGUCAGAUCACAAAGAUCACCGAGUCCCUGGGCACUGCACUGCACGUGGCCGUAGACAUGAACAAAGAAGAUGCGGUUGAAGCCCUCGUGAACCAAAUCAUCGAACAUCUGUAAUAUUUUUUUUUUAUCGGCAAAUGUUAAUUUAUUAAGAAUGUUAGUUUUCUUCUUUUCUUCUCGGUCGAUUUAAUCAUCAAACACACCUUGUAUCUUUAUCAGCCAUCAUGCAGAAACCAAUCCUCUGGAAGUGAAGAACAAGAGCGGUGACACCCCUCUACAUGUUGCGGCAUCGAGGGGGUUCGCCAAAAUAUGUAAGAUAAUCAUUGGAAAGCAUAAUGAGAGGAAGAGUUUGGUGAGUCAAAGAAACAACCGUGGGGAGACACCUCUCUUUCAAGCUGUUAUCAACGGCCACAGCCAGGCAUUUUGCUAUCUGUCUAGCAUUUCCCACGACAACAUGGCAGAUCUUGUGCGAGACAACAAAGAUACUAUUCUUCACUGUGCUAUCAGCAACGAAUAUUUCGGUAUCUAAUACUUAUACCUAUAUUUUCUUCUGAGCCUUAUCCAAAAUCCUAAUUUGUACAACAAUAAAUACGUGCUAUAAUGUUUUUUUCUUUUGUCUAUCUGUUUCUUGUAGUCAUUUAUUAUAUGUCAUAAUAAUGAUAAAGAUAAAUACAAAAAUUAAUGUUACUAAUACCUAUAUCACGAUGAUAUUGUGGGGUAUGGAGCCUACGAACAUCUAGUAAUUCUAAAUCACACGGUAUUUCUUCUUCUUCUUGCUUGAAAUUAAUUAUAUUGUAUGAAAUUAUCAUGUGCCUAUAGUGCUAAUUAGUGUCUAUAUGACAUGUAGUUAGUUUUAUUAACUUUUUCUCGCAAAUUAAUGAGGGUCAUCGAUCACCAUGGACUAGACCCCACUGACUUUUUAGACACUUCCAAAUAUAGUAUACAUGAAAAAAAAAUCAAUUUAUUUUUCCCCACAUCUCUAAAAUAGAUAUUUUUAGUAUUUUUUAAUUUAAAUAUAUAAGUAUUAUUUCUACAACUUAAAGUUUUUCGAUUUGUCAUUGAUCAUCAUAUAUUUAUAUAUUUAUUGUUGUUGUCAAUCUCUAUGUUACAUCCAAUCAUGUAAAAAAUGUGGUUACAUAUAAUAUAAAGAUUGAUCCACUUAAGGCAAGUAAUAGUUUUACAUCAUACAAUAAUUUCUUAGAGAUUAAUUCACAUUGUGGUGACAUAUAUAUUAGUCUAACAUCAUACAAUAUUUUUUUUUCUUAUAUAUAUAUAUAUAUUGACCUAUCCUUAACAUCAAAGUUCGAAAUGAUGAGCAGUUGUUGUUGUUAAGGAUUAAUUUUUUUUUGUUUUAUAAUUUAAUUACUAUACACAUAUGCUAUGCAGAUUUGGCCCUCAUAAUAGUGCAUUAUUAUGGUUUCCUUAUCAACAAGCAUAAUAAAGAGAAGUUGACUCCUCUCGAUGUCCUAGCCACCAGACCAUCGGCCUUCAAAAGUGCAAGCAAACACCACUCAUUGUGGAAGCAAAUCCUGUACAACUGUAAGUAAGAUACAAUCUAUCAGUAUUUUAUGAAAUUAUAAUUAAUCAUCAGGUAUAACCAUUUUUAAUAAAUAAAUAAUAUACACUAAGUUUGAACAAAAAAAUUGUAACCAGAAAAAAUAUGAAGAGAAAAGAGACAAGUAUAUAAAUGAUAUGAAUUAGAGAAGUAUAAUUUUUUAAAAUGUGCACAUUCACGAAUCAUGAAUACAAGGUCGUCCUUGUGUAAAAAAAUCUAUUUACUGUAUUCUUCUUUUGUCAAAAAGGUAUACUUGUAGAACCACGUCUGGACGUUGAAAGGCAAAUAGAGGCGAAUUUGGCAGAGAUGGAUAAGCCUACAGAGUCUGAUGAACUGAAUUAUCCAAAGAACUACGCCACAUUAUAUGAAUUCUUUGCUCGAUCGUUGAGUCUCGCUAUUGGUAUACUAUAUGUGAACAGCUUCUCAUGGCAGUCCCGUUUUUCUUUAUUAAUACUUAACUAUACUUACUGAAACUUAUUUUAUUAUAUGUCUUCAUAGAUGAUAGCUAGAUACAGAAGUAAUUAUUUGUUUUGUUUUGUUUUUGGAGAUAGUUUAUCAAAACUCAAAAUCAUCUACUACUACUACUACGUACGUACUUCGAUCUCACACAUCUUUCUUUUGGUCAGGCAAAAUGUCUUGGCAAAACAAACAGGUUGACACAGAAAACCCACCAAUCAAUGAACAGUUUGGAUUUGGACUUUUGCCACCUAAUUAUAACACCUUUCAACAGUUUGUUAGGUCUGGAUUUGUACAUAUUCUUGGCCUUUCAGGAUCGGGAGUGGGUAUGUAUUGUUUGCACUAGCUAGUAUAUAUAGUCUUGAUUUAUUGCUAUCUACUAGUACUUGUUAAAUGAUUAACACAAUUCUUCUGGCCGGUUUCAUUGCGCACUUGCUUUUUAAGACAUAAACGAAGUAAAGAAGACAAAAGAGAGGCAUCAAUGGGGUUAUCAACUCUUUGAGGAGCUAAUGAUGAAAAUGAUUGCAGAAGGGGAUUUACUGCCUGAUAGGGAAUUUGACCCAGCCAUAUUUAAUAUGUAUAGCGAAUACACACCAGAACAAGGUACUUACUCUUACUCUCUAUUCUAUUAUUAUUACGUUAAAAGAAAAAAAAAUGUUUCAAAAUAAUUAUUAUUUUAAUUUUUUAAUAUAACAUUAAUUAAGCUAGGUUGCAUGACAUAAUUAAGAAAAUCAACAAGACUUGUGGCGAUGUCCUAAGCUAAUUAAUUUGUGCAGAUAUGUAUGUAACUUAAUCUAAUUAUACACACACAAUAUUUAAUUGAUUUAUUAUAUUAAUAUUAAUGAAAGUUAUUAAUUGUUUCCCGCAAUAUUUUUCUCUACAUUUUCUUUUGUUUCUCUUUGUACGUAUUCCAUUAAUUUCAAUUUUGAUACCUUUAUUUUUUUUCUCUUAUUUUUUUAAAUUGUAGAAUUUCUUUCUAGAAGCUUCUUAUUUCCCCUUUGUACAUAAGCUCUGUUUUUUGUGAGCAAAACUUGAAUCAGUGUACUUUUUUAGGUGAGAACGGGUAGUAAGAUAUACUCUCUUUUUUAACUCCCAAUGAUUAAUGUCUCGGAGUACUAAGAGAUGGAAACUGAACUCACUAUACUCUAAUUGAAAAGAAAACCGGUUUAUAUACACAGAAAAAAGUUGCACAUAAAACUAAAGAGAAUCUAACGCACUAACUAACUAUAGUUACAAUGGAAAGUGACAAAAUAACUAAAGUUAACUCUGCUGACAAUAUACUCUCAAUCUAAUGCACAUGUUUCAAGACACUUCAUUAUUGAUUAAUACACUCUCCACUUAAAUAUACUUUAUUCAUAACAUUUAAUUCAAAAAAUCUUUUUAAAAUAUCUUUCAUAGUAUUUCUUGUACAAUAAAAAUAAAUCGGUGAUUAAAUUCUCGAACUAACUUGUUAAUUCUUACGAGUUCAUUUUUUUUUGAGUUGACUCUUGAAUAAAUUUUUUUUAGUAAAUUCUUGAUAAAUUUUAUAAACUCUAAAUAAAUUUGGUAGACUCUUGAGUUUAUUAUCAAGUUAAUGAGUCAGCAAGUUAAAAAAUUUAGACAAAAAUGUAAGUCAUUUUCUAUUUAGUAUUCAAGAUACCUUUGUUUAGUGUGUUAUUAUCAAAUACAAAAAUUUUCAUAUUUAAUAAUAUCAAAUACUUGUUCUCUAAUAACAUCAAAUUUUUCAUGAAAAUAAUUUACCAGUACUAUAACAUAUGUAAGUUAUUAUCCAAUAGUGAUGCAUUACUAGAAUUAGUUAUUUAAGUAUUAUAAAAUUUAUGAUUUAUUAUUUUAUUUUAUUAUAUUGUUAAAAUGUUUAAUUGAUAUAUUAUUUAUAGAUAUUUUAUUAUUAUUUUUAUAUGAAGUGGACUAUUACGAGUCGAGAAUAUAAAAUUUUUAUGAUUCUACGGGAGUUUGGUAGCCUUAAAUGAUACAUGAGAAACAAGAUUUAAAUAAAUAAAGGACAUAAUAAGAAUAUUAUUAUUAAAUAAAAUAAAAUUAGUUAAUAUUUACUUGAAGUUAAGUCUUUUUUUUGUUUAAAGAAAGUAUCUUUUUAAAAACUACAAAAUUAUUAGUGGAGUUCCUUAAAUAUUAAAUAUUAAGUAAGAAUAAAAAAAUUGUAUUUUAAUUAAAUUUUAACAACUAAUAAUGUGUUAAUCAGUUUAAUUAACUAUGUUCGAUGUAUAUGAAAAAGAUGUACAAGAUUUACCUGUCUUUUGACAUGGCAAUGGCAGGAGAAUGUAGCCACUCACAAGAGUUGGAAGAAGAAACAAGACCACAGGUUGAUGGCAACACAGAUACUUUAAGUCAAAAUGACACAAAGAAUGAAACUGAUCAACAUUUUGAUGAGCAGAACAUUGUCAUAAUAAGAAGUGAGAUCCAUAAUUUGUGUGUCUGCGUGUGUGUGAAUCACUAUGAAGAAGCGAAUCAACAUUUACCUCUCUCUUUGUUUGACUUGACACUGGUAGGAGAAAUCACUCGCUCGGAAGUGUUGGAAGAAAAAAGAAAACCAAAGGUUGAUGGCAGAAUAGAAACUCUAUGUCAAAGUGAAGCAAGGAAGGAAGUUGAACAACAUGCUGAUGAGAAGAACAUUUUCAUAAUAAGAAGUGAGACUCAUAAAAUUUUGUGUUUUUAAAUAAAUUUUAACUAAUUAUAAAGAGUGUGUUGUUAGAAUCUAUUUUCCUGGAUUAUAUAUGUUCGACAUGUAUGAAGAAGAGGAGUAACAUUUAUCUCUCAUUGUUUUACUUGGCAUUGGCAGGAGAAACCAAAUGCUUGGAAUUGUUGGAAGAAGAAAGAAAACCAAAAGCAAAAACUUCAAGUGACAUACUAGAUGAUGACACAGUUUUGGUUGCAGCAAGAAAUGGCAUAGUUGAAAUAGUGAAUGAAAUUUUAACUCAAUUUAUAAGUGUCUUCUAUACAACUAACUCACAGGAAGAAAAUAUUUUGCUUGUCGCAGUGAGGAACAAGAAACCUCUUGUAGUUGAAAAUUUGAGAAAGAAAUUUCAAAAGGAAUACCCAGAAGUUUGGAAUACCUUAACUCUGGCAGUAAACAAGGAUGGGAAGACCAUGUUGCACAUGGCAGCAUAUGCUUCAGAAGAGUAUAAGCCUUGGCAAAUAUCUGGUUCCGCCUUACAGUUGAUGUGGGACGUAAAUUGGUUUCAGGUAUAAUAUUUUAAGUUUAAUUUCCAUGGACUUUCGCAGUAGAGAUUUUUACAUUGAAAAAAACUUACACACAGUUCUUUAGGUGUUAUAUGUGCUAUUCUCCAAUUAGAGUUGUAUUAAAAAAAUUAUACAUAUUACCAAGAUGAAACUCAAAUUCUAAUUGGACAACAACAUGUACAACACCUAUAAUUUUAUAUUGUUAUCAAUCACAAAAUAUUUGUAUACGAAUCGAGAAAAAAAAUCAUCUAUCUUAGUACAAACCUUUAAAAAUAAGAAUCAGAUUAAAAGAAUGUGACAAUUUUGUAACUAUGCCACAAAAUAACCACCCUAUGUACAUAAGUUGAUGCUUUUAUUUUACCUUGAAGCAGUAUAUUAAGAGCCUUGUGCCAGAACACUAUCAUCUUAGAAGCGACAAGAACAAUCAAACCGCAGAUGAAAUCUUCAAGGAAGAACAUAAAGAACUUAGGAAGGAGAGUAGCGAGUGGCUGAAGGAGACAUCUGAAUCUUGCUCUGUUGUGGCUGCCCUUGUUGCCGGUGUUUCCUUUGCUACGGCAGCCACCAUCCCCGGUGGCAACGACGAUAAAGGGUAUCCUCAUCUAGAAGACAAGCCUGCAUUCCACGCAUUUGUUAUUUCUUCAGUAGUUGGACUUGGCUUCUCACUCACUGGACUCAUUAUGUUCCUCACUAUACUCACUUCUCGAAAGCUAUACCGAGCGUUUCGCAUAGAUUUGCCACUCAAACUUCUUCUUGGCUUAAGUUCUCUUUUCGUAUCCAUUGUUGCAUUGAUUCUUUCUUUCUGCACCAGCCAUUCUUUUCUGUUCACUCACAAAUACAAGACAGUUAUAUUCCCCAUUUAUGUAGCCACUUGUUUACCUGUCACUUUCUAUGCCGUAGCUCAGUUGCCACUCUACUUAGAUCUUCUAACAUUCAUUUUAUUUAAGGUGCCAAAGGCAACUAGUGAAGGAGACAGUUUAUAGGAGGAGCUUCAAUUCUACCAAAUCAUUGUUAGAUCUAUAUGGUUCUUAAUUCUGUGUGGUGUGCAUUUUUGUAAUAAACACAUAUUAUGAGCUACGGAACAGCUUUUGAAUUUUAGAAACUGUGUUGGUUGUGGUAUUGUGAAAUGUUUGUAGUUUAAGGAGAAAAGUUUCUGGACAUUAUUUGUGUAAUGCCUCUAAUGAUCUUGAUUUCAAAAGAAAACUUUGUUAAAGGACAUCAUGGGAACAAAGAAAACUUUGUUAGGAGAGACAAAUCUUACUUUGAUGGUCUUUAUAUGUCAAAAGAAAGUAGUCUCACUAUCAGUUAAAGGACAUCUCAGUGCAAAUAAAAAAAGAAAGUAAAUUAUAUGGUUUGGUUUGCAGCAGCAAGAGUAAAGAGUUUCUGUUUUAAGCAAGAAUUUCUCAAACCGUAAUCCACUAGUUAAACCAUUGCUACAAUGUACAAACACUCUUUGGUCGCAGCAAGUAAUUUGGAACCUCAGUUUUUAUUUUCCAAAAUAAUGGAGAAAAUAAAAGAUACUAGACCCAACAAAGAUGAGAGAAGGGGAAAAACAAUGCUUAAUUGUUUAUUAUAAGAAUAAUUCAUUAUUUAUUAAAAUGGAAGUAUUCAAAUCACCUGUUGUAAAAAGCAAUUGAAUAAUUAGAAUACAAAUAAUGGUUUCCUAAUUGCUGAUUUUUUUCUCUUCAAUUUUCCAAAUCAAUAAAAUUUCUUCUGGCAGUAUAUUAUAUAGGUAUAGCUCCAGUUAAGGUGUGAUGGAGUUGGAAGUAAUCUAAAAUGAGUUCACUGCCUUCAUGGCUUGGAAUCUGGGCUCCUUUGGAUGGAACUUUAGCGUAGCAUAGAGCUUCAUGUAAUCCUCAAAUACAAAUUUUGGGUACACUUGCUCUGUCUCCUGUGCCUCUUUCUCCAACAAUGCUGGUGCAGGGUAGAUAACAGCAUCACUGGCAGGGUUGUAGAAUGAGGCUACGGACAUUCUGGUCCCAUUCGUUUGGGCAAUCACACGAUGCUCCACACUCUUGUAUCUCCCAUUGGUAAUGACCUAUGGUAUUAGACCAAAAUGUUGGAUGAGAAUUACAAUAAAGUACAGGGUUAUGCUUUAGGGACAUAACCAUUAUUGAAAGAAAAAGUUACGUACCUCAAUUUGGUCACCAAGGUUAACAACAAUGGAAUGGCGCAUAGGAGGCACAUCCACCCAUUGGCCAUCUUUGAGAAGCUGAAGGCCACUGACCUUGUCAUCUUGCAAGAGA
Molecule: long non-coding RNA, 11537 nt
Filed under: Glycine max (soybean)
Lineage: Eukaryota; Viridiplantae; Streptophyta; Magnoliopsida; Fabales; Fabaceae
Description: long non-coding RNA (GMAX_LNC000470)
Source: RNAcentral